RNAcentral lists this long non-coding RNA (820 nucleotides) under Papio anubis (olive baboon). RNAcentral describes it as "lncRNA (ENSPANG00000040546.1)". The record is from RNAcentral. Lineage: Eukaryota; Metazoa; Chordata; Mammalia; Primates; Cercopithecidae.
CCAAGUGAUUCAAUUUAGAAUUGAAUUCAAUUUGGACCUCCAGAGUUCCAGACAAGCCAAAAUUCUACAUAAAUAAAUUUCAUAUGCCAUUUGUUUUGGUUGCUGAAAAAGUCAGGGACUGGGUCCAACCAGGCAAUGUAGUUCAAACCUAAGAUCUUCAUCUCUGCUCUUUUCAGUCAUUUAUUAAAGACAUAUUUCACGCACAUAAAGCCAUGUCAUGACUUAAAACAUUCCUCUUUCUAAAAAAUCACACUCAGAAACAUCUGUCUCCAACCAUUAUUAGAAUCCUUCCACUAUUUUACUCUCUAAUUCCUGUAAACUCAGAGUACAUUUUAGAGUCUCAUCGUCUGAAAUGUUUCAACCACUUUCUGGUCCAUGUGUCGUCUCCUGAGCAUCACUAGCUCCAGUCUUAGGCUAAAGCCCAGGGAUGUCAAUGAGUUAUUUUUCUUUUUCUUUUUCUUUUUUUUUUUUUGAAACUGAAUUUCGUUCUUGUCGCCCAGGCUGGAGUGCGAUGGCAUGAUCUCGGCUCACUGCAACCUCUGCCUCCUGUGUUCAAGCGAUUCUCCUGCCUCAGCCUCCCAAGUAGCUGGGAUUACAAAUGCAUGCCACCACGCCUGGCUAAUUUUUUGUAAUUUUAGUAGAGACAGGGUUUCAACACGUAAUCCCAGCAUGUUGCCAGAAGUCAGGGACCUAUGACUGUUCAGCAAGCUCCACCUCCCAGGUUCACACCAUUCUCCUGCCUCAGCCUCCCCAGUAGCUAGGACUACAGGCGCCCACCACCGCGCUCGGCUAAUUUUUUUGUAUUUUUAGUAAAGACGGC